This 253-nucleotide ribosomal RNA is filed under the name uncultured bacterium. RNAcentral describes it as "partial 16S ribosomal RNA". It matches the Rfam family "Bacterial small subunit ribosomal RNA", at positions 524 to 776 of the family's 1533-position model. The record is from RNAcentral.
UACGGAGGGUGCGAGCGUUAAUCGGAAUUACUGGGCGUAAAGCGCACGCAGGCGGUCUGUCAAGUCGGAUGUGAAAUCCCCGGGCUCAACCUGGGAACUGCAUUUGAAACUGGCAAGCUAGAGUCUCGUAGAGGGGGGUAGAAUUCCACGUGUAGCGGUGAAAUGCGUAGAGAUCUGGAGGAAUACCGGUGGCGAAGGCGGCCCCCUGGACGUAUACUGACGCUCAUGUGCGAAAGCGUGGGGAGCAAACAGG